UGCGGUAGUGAUCUCAUCUCGUACCGCGCCAGGUGUGACUCUUCUCUCUUUCCUACUCUUUCGGUCCCGGACCUCUGUGCGCCGUUGGUAAGACGGAGGAAACAGUAAAGGACUUAAAAUUCACCUAUCGACUCGGCCGUGUUCUACGCUACGAUCAACAGGCUGCUAACGACACGUGUAUGUACCUCGCUAUUCCACAACGAGGAAAGAACGAUCAAGAAAAACGAUCCAUUCGUGAUCGACAAUUCAACGACUACGAUCACUGUGAUGUACCAAGUAUUCCUUCCUGCCAGGAAUCCUUAACCUCUUAACUUAAAAGUACGAGAAUACUCGGGCAAAAUACACUUGUUAUAAUAUAAUUAUUAAGUUAAGAGGUUAAAACUCAAAAGCAAAAUCCAUCGUUUCAUCGGAUAAUAUGGAAUUGCAGUUGAACGAGACUUGGAUAAUCGAGACUAUACUGUGUAUAGUUUAUAGUAUAUAGCAAAUUUUUUGAUGAUUCAAGAUUCUCGGUAGAAGUAUUUCUGAUAGGUGACGAGAGGAUCUUGGCGCGGACAUUUUCUUUGGUUAUCUAGCUGUAUGAGUAUUAUUCGACAUCAUAAAGCUAGGUUACCGGAGUUAAGCUCCUCGCCAUAUCAACUCCAGCGAUCUUCUCCCAUGUAUUUCAGUACUGUCACUGCAACGACACGUCCGACGUGUUUCGAAAGUUACUUCGAAACGGGGUACCAUUCGUAGCCGUGAACCAGAUUGUACAUGGUUUAUCCGUGAAAUCGAUUUAUGUAACGCUGUAAUAAUUUUCUAUGACACUCUGAUGGAA
Molecule: long non-coding RNA, 814 nt
Organism: Osmia bicornis bicornis
Lineage: Eukaryota; Metazoa; Arthropoda; Insecta; Hymenoptera; Megachilidae
Exons: 3
Source: RefSeq, a predicted model, not a curated record